GGAUUAGAUACCCUGGUAGUCCACCCCGUAAACGUUGGGAACUAGUUGUGGGGACCAUUCCACGGUUUCCGUGACGCAGCUAACGCAUUAAGUUCCCCGCCUGGGGAGUACGGCCGCAAGGCUAAAACUCAAAGGAAUUGACGGGGACCCGCACAAGCGGCGGAGCAUGCGGAUUAAUUCGAUGCAACGCGAAGAACCUUACCAAGGCUUGACAUACACCAGAACACCGUAGAAAUACGGGACUCUUUGGACACUGGUGAACAGGUGGUGCAUGGUUGUCGUCAGCUCGUGCUG
This 294-nucleotide ribosomal RNA is filed under the name uncultured bacterium. Its description in RNAcentral is "partial 16S ribosomal RNA". It matches the Rfam family "Bacterial small subunit ribosomal RNA", at positions 775 to 1067 of the family's 1533-position model. The record is from RNAcentral.